GCAGUCGAGCGCAGGAACUGACGGAACUCUUCGGAGGGAAGGCAGUGGAAUGAGCGGCGGACGGGUGAGUAACACGUAAGGAACCUGCCUCAAGGAUUGGGAUAACUCCGAGAAAUCGGAGCUAAUACCGGAUAGUUCAUCGGACCGCAUGGUCCGUUGAUGAAAGGCGCUCCGGCGUCACCUUGAGAUGGCCUUGCGGUGCAUUAGCUAGUUGGUGGGGUAACGGCCCACCAAGGCGACGAUGCAUAGCCGACCUGAGAGGGUGAUCGGCCACACUGGGACUGAGACACGGCCCAGACUCCUACGGGAGGCAGCAGUAGGGAAUCUUCCACAAUGGACGAAAGUCUGAUGGAGCAACGCCGCGUGAGUGAUGAAGGUUUUCGGAUCGUAAAACUCUGUUGUAAGGGAAGAACACGUACGAGAGGAAAUGCUCGUACCUUGACGGUACCUUACGAGAAAGCCACGGCUAACUACGUGCCAGCAGCCGCGGUAAUACGUAGGUGGCAAGCGUUGUCCGGAAUUAUUGGGCGUAAAGCGCGCGCAGGCGGCCUUUUAAGUCUGAUGUGAAAGCCCCCGGCUCAACCGGGGAGGGCCAUUGGAAACUGGAAGGCUUGAGUACAGAAGAGAAGAGUGGAAUUCCACGUGUAGCGGUGAAAUGCGUAGAGAUGUGGAGGAACACCAGUGGCGAAGGCGACCCUUUGGUCUGUAACUGACGCUGAGGCGCGAAAGCGUGGGGAGCAAACAGGAUUAGAUACCCUGGUAGUCCACGCCGUAAACGAUGAGUGCUAGGUGUUGGGGGGUUUCCGCCCCUCAGUGCUGAAGCUAACGCAUUAAGCACUCCGCCUG
This 846-nucleotide ribosomal RNA is filed under the name uncultured bacterium. RNAcentral describes it as "bacterial SSU rRNA". It matches the Rfam family "Bacterial small subunit ribosomal RNA", at positions 57 to 875 of the family's 1533-position model. The record is from RNAcentral.